UGCAUUCUACCCCAUAGAUCUUCAUAAAACUUACUUAAAACAUGUAUUGAGCUUAAGAUCGGCUCUUACCUCGUGGAGAUCGAGAGAGAGACGACCUAAUCUUGGAGAUGGGAGAUUUUCAACUUCCUUGAGUCUCCAAGCUCAAAACUUGCUCAAAACUUGAAAAUCUUCAAAAUAAGAUGAAAACUUGUGAAAAUCGUGAAAGAUUUGAAG
This 213-nucleotide long non-coding RNA is filed under the name Manihot esculenta (cassava). RNAcentral describes it as "long non-coding RNA (MESC_LNC004894)". The record is from RNAcentral. Lineage: Eukaryota; Viridiplantae; Streptophyta; Magnoliopsida; Malpighiales; Euphorbiaceae.